UACGUAGGGCGCAAGCGUUAUCCGGAAUUAUUGGGCGUAAAGAGCUUGUAGGCGGUUUGUCGCGUCUGCUGUGAAAUUUCGGGGCUCAACCCCGAACUUGCAGUGGGUACGGGCAGACUAGAGUGUGGUAGGGGAGACUGGAAUUCCUGGUGUAGCGGUGAAAUGCGCAGAUAUCAGGAGGAACACCGGUGGCGAAGGCGGGUCUCUGGGCCGAUACUGACGCUGAGGAGCGAAAGCGUGGGGAGCGAACAGG
This 253-nucleotide ribosomal RNA is filed under the name uncultured bacterium. Its description in RNAcentral is "partial 16S ribosomal RNA". It matches the Rfam family "Bacterial small subunit ribosomal RNA", at positions 524 to 776 of the family's 1533-position model. The record is from RNAcentral.